Entelurus aequoreus (snake pipefish) is the source of this 2350-nucleotide long non-coding RNA. RefSeq lists it as uncharacterized. The transcript has 7 exons. NCBI's taxonomy places the organism in Eukaryota, Metazoa, Chordata, Actinopteri, Syngnathiformes, Syngnathidae. The record is from RefSeq and is a predicted model, not a curated record.
ACACACACACAGGCGCUCGUACACAUGGACCACACGAUGAUUGUCCACUCUGCGCUUCACUCACACAGUGGUCGGGCUUCUCGCCUUCUCGGUACAGGAUGUGAUUGGAGCGCACCAUGUCGUCCACCACGUUGCUCUUGGUGAUCUCCUUGGAGCGGAACUGCUGCGGGGAGGACAGGUUCUUGCCGUCGUUGUUGCCAAGGCCCCGCCUCCUCACCUUGAUGCCCGAGCUGACCAGGAAGUCCACCAACGCCGACUUGAUCUUCGUCUGGCCGGACUUGAAGUCGUCCCCUCCGAUGAAGACGCCCCUCUGCACGGCCAGGUCUACGGCCCCCGGCACAAAGGUGUUCUGGGGGGAGCCGUUGAUGAAGGCGCAUCCUUCCAGUACGCUGGCCACCGCAAAAAGAGUGGAGGGAGACACCUCUGAGCCGGCCUGAUGGACCACAACAAACGAAGGUUUUUGGCCGUGUCGUUGACUCCGGGCACGAUGUCACAGAAGCGCUCGGUGGUGGCGGUCCACACGACGAUGACUUUGUCCACGCCGCUGGACUGAUGGAAGUCCCGGAUGUCCUCUCUGAUCCGCUCCAUCUGCAAGGAACCCACGACUCAGACUUGGUGUUCCAGGUGAGGUUCAUCUUGUUGGCAAGUACGGCUGCUGUGACCGUGGUGCCGUUGUUGCCUCCCCAGCCCACCAGCAUCACCCCCAGCCUGGGCACGCGUGUGUCCGUGCGCAGGGUCAUCUCAGUGGUGCGAGGGGUCACCUGUAUCGCACCGUCAUGUGUGAAAAUUCUUCUAAGGGACUCCUGCGAAGCCCACCCUGACGCUGAUGAGAAUCCUGCCUUCAUAAGCCAGCGAGUCUUGCGUUCCAGUGCCAGAACGUAGAUCCUUGUACUUGUACAUAACCCUUCGUCAUCCCCUGGUUUCGAGAAGUGUGUCUCAUCUCCCUGGAUCCCCUCUGGACUCUCUGCUGCCUUCCGGAUUUCGACCUCACACCUGCCCUUGGACCACGACGCCUCGCUCCAGCCCCUGACCUCCUGCCUGUCCCUGGACCUCAGAGUCUGCCUUGCCCUUUCUGGGCUUCCGCACCGAUCUCAACACUACCCGCAUCGAUAUUGCUUCACACUUGGCUGCGAACCGAUCCAGUGAGAGUUGAAGCCAUCAGGACUACACAAUCUGCAAACAGAGCCUGAAUCCUGCGGCCAUCAAACCGGAUUCCCUUAACGCCCUGACUGCACUUGGACAUUCUGUCAAUAAAAGUUGUAAACAGAAUUGGUGACAAAGGCCAUCCCUGGCGCAGUCCAACCCUCGCUGAAAAUGGGUCCGACUUACUGCCGGCAAUGCGGCGGCUCUGACACUUAUCAUCCAGGGAGCGGACUGCCACAAUCAGUUGCAUACCCCAUACUCUCUAAGCACUCCCCACAGAACUUCCCGAGAGACACGGUCGAAUGCCUUCUCCAAGUCCACAAAACACAUGUAAACUGGUUGGGAAAAUUCCCAUGCACCCUAGAGGACCCUGCCGAGACUAUAGAACUGGUCCACGGUUCAACGACCAGGACGAAAACCUCCUGAAUCCGAGGUUUGAUUAUCCGGCGUAGCCUCCUUUCCAGUACGCCUGAAUAGACCUUACUGAAAAGGCUGAGGAAUGUAAUCCCACGAUAGUUGCAGCACACCCUCAGGUUUCCCUUCUUAAGGAGAAGAACUAGCACUUGAAGUAGCUGGAAGGUCGUGAAUAAAACAGCUCUUUGAGGCGACAACCUCUUUUCAUUGUUACAUCGACACAUGACACUCUACACCGUACUUUUGUUUUUGCUCGUCUGUUUUAGAGCAACAAACGCACCCUAUAUACAGUAUUAUAUUUCUGUGCAUGUUGAAUUGGUGUAGGCAGCAGCAAGACAAUCGCUUCAUUCCGAGAGUAUUCAAUUUAGUCCCCCCUCCACAACCACCAAAGUUUAGCUGACGUCAAAGACAUGCAUAGUGACAAUCAUUUCGACCCAAGUUGUUUUCUUGCGCUCCAAUCUGAAUGACUUUCGGCAUAAACAACCUGUCUACAUAUGCGGUCCUCUCCAAGGUUUCUCAUAGUCAUUCACAUUGACGUCCCACUGGGGUGAGUUUUCCUUGCCCGUAUGUGGGCUCUGUACCGAGGAUGUCGUUGUGGCUUGUACAGCCCUUUGAGACACUUGUGAUUUAGGGCUAUAUAAAUAAACAUUGAUUGAUUGAUUGAUUGAUCGGAAUGAAAUGUUAAUCCAACGUGUGAUCGGGUCAAAAUUAAGCAUUUUUACUCCGCUUUGGCUUUUAAUCCGAUUAAAUGUGUCCAUGUUUACAUAACGACUACUGACAACUCAGAGUGAGU